GGAGCUUGCUUUAUAUAACUUAGCAGCGAACCGUUUGAGUAACACGUAGAUAAUCUAUCCUAUACUGGGGGAUAGCCCGAUGAAAGUUGGAUUAAUACCGCAUAUAGCUAUAUAGUUGCAUGAUUAUGUAGUGAAAGAUUUAUUGGUAUAGGAGGAGUCUGCGGCACAUUAGCUAGUAGGUGAGGUAAAGGCUUACCUAGGCGACGAUGUGUAGCCGGUCUGAGAGGAUGAACGGCCACAAUGGAACUGAGACACGGUCCAUACUCCUACGGGAGGCAGCAGUGGGGAAUAUUGCACAAUGGGGGAAACCCUGAUGCAGCAACGCCGCGUGAGUGAAGAAGGUUUUCGGAUUGUAAAGCUCUGUUAGCAGGGAAGAGGAAGGACGGUACCUGCAGAGGAAGCCACGGCUAACUACGUGCCAGCAGCCGCGGUAAUACGUAGGUGGCAAGCGUUGUUCGGAAUAACUGGGCGUAAAGGAUGCGUAGGCGGUUAAACAAGUUAUAUGUUAAAUAUAUAGGCUUAACCUGUAGAAAGCAUAUAAAACUGUUUAACUAGAGUGCAGGAGAGGUAAGUGGAAUUCCUAGUGUAGCGGUGAAAUGCGUAGAGAUUAGGAAGAACACCAGUGGCGAAGGCGACUUACUGGACUGUAACUGACGCUGAGGCAUGAGAGCAUGGGGAGCAAACAGGAUUAGAUACCCUGGUAGUCCAUGCUGUAAACGAUGGGUACUAGGUGUGGGUUGUGAAUAACAAUUCGUGCCGUCGCAAACGCAAUAAGUACCCCGCC
Molecule: ribosomal RNA, 784 nt
Filed under: uncultured bacterium
Lineage: Bacteria
Description: bacterial SSU rRNA
Rfam family: Bacterial small subunit ribosomal RNA
Source: RNAcentral